Sardina pilchardus (European sardine) is the source of this 1719-nucleotide long non-coding RNA. RefSeq lists it as uncharacterized. NCBI's taxonomy places the organism in Eukaryota, Metazoa, Chordata, Actinopteri, Clupeiformes, Clupeidae. The transcript is spliced from 6 exons. The record is from RefSeq and is a predicted model, not a curated record.
GCCAAGAGCUCCUUCACACGUGCAGACAAAGAGACCUAACAACACAACCAAAAUAUGCACUUUCAAACUUUUUGCACCCAGAUAAUCUCGCAUGGAAACACAGACAAAUGCAACGGAACCUUCAGCUGGACUCAGAGGCCGCAGUCACCGCAAAUAUGGAAUGCUCAUAUUUUGGAUGGAAAUAGCUCUUGGGUGGAUUUUAGGGGAUUUACCAGUGACAUUUUGGCAAAGAAGCCCCUUGGAAUAGUGGAAUACUGCUGCGCAGCGACAUUUGGAUUACAAUCUCCUCCGGCAACUGGAAUAUGAACAUCAGAUCGAAGUGAUACUCUAAUCCCCCGAGACUCAGAAUUCCCCAGUGCUGCUGCAGUGCUGUGAAAGUUGUGAUGCUGCAGGCAGUGAAAUGUACCAGGCACAUAUCUUACCUGAUGAUACAUCAACCACCGACACAGCAGCUUCAGAUGGAUGUGACCCUGACCAUGAGGCCGGACACCUGCAUGGACGUGCUCUGGAGAUUUAUAAGAGGAGUGUGACACACGGCACGCAGCAGGACUCAUCCCACAGUUCCUUGCCAGCCAAGACAGGAAGUGAUGUGAUCCACUGCCUCCGGGGGCUGAACAAUGCCAAGCCAAAGGCCACAGGAUGUCUUCCUCUAUGGCUCAGUCAGACGGCAGACGGGCAUUCAUCAGACCAACGGAUGUGAAGACCAGAGGACAGAGAGAGAGGGAGGAUGAGGAGAGAAAAGGACAUGGAGACAAAAGGACAGGAGAGAGAGUGUGCCAACGAAUAGUGAGGACAUCGUUGGAGAAUGAGAGGAACAUGGACAGAUGGACGGAUAGAGGGAGGGACGGCUGGAGAAAUGGAGAGAUGGUGGGGAUGGAGGGGAUGUUGGUGUGAGAGGCGCUCCCGUCUCCAGAUGAAGGCAUCUACAAAUUGUGGUGUGGGGGUCAUUGUAUGGGGCCCCCAAGCAAGCGCUCCAGAGGCCCCCAGUAAACAAUGGGCCAAUUGAGGGAGGAGGAGGGUGGAGGUGUGGAGAUGUGGGGGUUGGGGGCCAUGUCUUCAUGCUCUAUCAAUAUCCCCACCGCUGUGGGGUGUCAGACCAUUGUGAACUUUGACCCUCAUGUCUCCUUACCCAACCCUUGAUGUCUUGUUUUCAGAUAUGACCCUUGACCUCCUUUGUGUCUCCUGUCCGGUAUUAGGGGGGAUAGUGGUGCAUGUGUGUGUGGGUGUGUGUGGGAAGGGGCAGGUGUUCCUUAUGGCAAAAACCCCUAACAACCUAUAACAAAGAAGACAAGUAGGACUCACUGAUGGACAUAGAACAGAGCACAUCUCUGUCUGGUGCAGCGCUAUGUGAAGGAAUACUGUCUCUUUAUCACUCCCUUCAAUAACCUCAUGACUGCAAGCACAGAAGAACUACAUGCAUUAUUCAAUAAGCAAGACUAAUGCACCUCUACGUAUUUGAGAAAUAAUUCUGCUAUAGUAUUAGUGUUACUGAAAGAUAAAUCUUUUUUGUUGUUAAAGCAUUAAUGUGUGCUGUUUUUUUUUUGUGUGAGGCAGGUUGGAUCAGACUAUGGAUUCUAAAAGGAUUUUGAAGACAUUUAAUCUGUUAAUCCUAUAAAAUAAAAGCCUUGAAAACACAAUUAAACACAAAGCCAAACUUUUCAGACGGCAACACAUCUGUGUCUCUUCCUCCACUAUUCUCAUCCCCAAAUCAUAAAUCGA